AUACUUACCUGGCAGGGGAGAUACCAAGAUCAUGAAGGUGGUUGUCCACUUUCAUGGAAGGGCAAGGAUAAGGGCAAGGCUUAUCCAUUGCACUCUGGAUGCGCUGACCCCUGCGAUUUCCCCAAAUAUGGGAAACUUGACUGCAUAAGUUUUGGCAGUGGGGGAAGUGCAUUCACCCUCUCCCCUG
RNAcentral lists this small nuclear RNA (187 nucleotides) under Microcebus murinus (gray mouse lemur). Its description in RNAcentral is "U1 spliceosomal RNA (ENSMICG00000018843.3)". It matches the Rfam family "U1 spliceosomal RNA". From Rfam's summary of the family: U1 is a small nuclear RNA (snRNA) component of the spliceosome (involved in pre-mRNA splicing). Its 5' end forms complementary base pairs with the 5' splice junction, thus defining the 5' donor site of an intron. There are significant differences in sequence and secondary structure between metazoan and yeast U1 snRNAs, the latter being much longer (568 nucleotides as compared to 164 nucleotides in human). Lineage: Eukaryota; Metazoa; Chordata; Mammalia; Primates; Cheirogaleidae. The record is from Rfam by way of RNAcentral.